CGCUUGGCGGGAGAUGAUGUUCCUCCUUUAACCGCCUUUCUUGAUCGGCCUUGUGCCAUUUGCUCAAAAAGGAUAAUGACGUCUAGCAACAC
RNAcentral lists this non-coding RNA (92 nucleotides) under Photobacterium aquae. Its description in RNAcentral is "Fluoride sequence". It matches the Rfam family "Fluoride riboswitch aptamer (crcB RNA motif)". The record is from RNAcentral. Lineage: Bacteria; Pseudomonadati; Pseudomonadota; Gammaproteobacteria; Vibrionales; Vibrionaceae.